Molecule: ribosomal RNA, 59 nt
Filed under: uncultured organism
Description: partial 16S ribosomal RNA
Source: RNAcentral
UAGGCUUGACAUGCCGGUGUAACUCCUGGAGACAGGAGCCCCCGCAAGGGCGCUGGCAC